GCCGACCAGGCCGCGUUUCUCAGGCGACCGCACCCCUCACUUUGCUUCUCUCUUUCUGAGGCUGUAGCCUUGGAAUAACCGAGGGUUCUCUGGGAACUGCAGGGUCGUCACCGUACCCCUACCAGAGAAGAAGUACGAACCAUGUUAGUCCUUUUUCUACAGAAGAGGAAGCGGGCCUGAGACACGGAGUCCUUGGCCUGAGAACGCACAGGAAGUGGAGACCACCGUCCUCUAGAGGGUGAGGAUGGUCAGUGAAGAUGGUGAAUCUUGGAACAGGCCCAGCAAAUGAUCCACAGAUCCUAAUUGCUUGUACUUGACUGUACAUUAAAUGUAGAUAAUGUCUGUCAUGGGCUGUUUCAGCCUCCACAUGAGCUGCGCUGAACUGAAAUCAAACAGGCUAAAAAACAGUUCUUCCACUCGGGGACCUUUGUGAAGACUUGAUAGAUGCUGGCUGCUGUCCUGGGUUACUUGCUGAUAUCUCCAGAAAAGUGCUUAUUCUCCAUGAGAUCAUCUGAAAUGGAACCGCUCAGAGCACUUUGUGCAGCUAUAACAGAGUACCACAGACUGAAAAACUUAUCGUGAAUAGAAAUUACUUGGCUCACAGCUCGGGAGGCUGAAAGUCCAAAUUCAGGUGAUGUGUCUGCCGAGAGCCUUUUCGCUGUCAUCCCAUGCUGGAAGGCAGAAGGUGAAAGAGCAAAGAAUGCAAGAGAAAGGGAUGAAGAGAAAGCCAAACCCGCUCCGUCAAUAGUGGCAUAAGGACUCUCAUGACCUAAUCACCUCUUAAAGGUCCCACUUCUCAACACGUUGCACUGAGGAUUAAGUUUCCAACACAGGAACUUUGUGGACACAAUGUGCAUGCCUCUCGUAUAUACCAGUGGCUAUCAUGACACUUCAUCCUGGAAGAAGGCAUCAGGUUAGUUUAGUUCAGAACCCCUAAAGAGCACACUGAAGUCAAUAUCACACACUGAUCUCACCUUCCUGUAAGGAAUUCUACUACUAAUAAUUUUGCUCUAAGAGAACUGAAAAUAUAUCCAAAAAAUGUACAUGCAUGUUUAUUAUUCAUGAUAGCCCUGAUUGUUGAUAAUAACCCAAAAGUGAAAAUCGCCCAAAUUUUCAUCUACUGAUGAAUGAAUAAACAAAAUGUGGUGUAUCUAUACAGAAAUGUUUUCAUCUAUAGAAAGGAAUGACAA
This is a long non-coding RNA of Lepus europaeus (European hare), 1190 nucleotides long. RefSeq lists it as uncharacterized. NCBI's taxonomy places the organism in Eukaryota, Metazoa, Chordata, Mammalia, Lagomorpha, Leporidae. The transcript has 3 exons. The record is from RefSeq and is a predicted model, not a curated record.